AACAUAUAAGUAAGCGGAGGAUCAGAAACUAAACAGGAUUCCCCUAGUAAUGGCGAAUGAACAGGGAAAAGCUCAGCUUGGAAAUCAAGGCCUUCGGUCUUGAGUUGUAGUUUUGAGAUGUACUGCCAACAGAGGCGCAGAUGUAAGCCUCUUGGAAAAGAGUGUCAAUGAGGGUGAGAACCCCGUUUGUCAUCUGCAGUCCCCUGUGUACGGUGUGCCUUCUACGAGUCACGUUCCUUGGGAUUGGAGCGCAAAUUGGGUGGUAAAUUUCAUCUAAAGCUAAAUAUUUGUUUGAGACCGAUUGCAAACAAGUACCAUGAGGGAAAGGUGAAAAGGACUUUGAAAAGAGAGUUAAAAGUGCUUGAAAUUGCUGAGAGGGAAGCGAAGGGAAUCAGUUCAUCUUGGCGAGAUUGUUGUGUGCUCAGGUGAUGACUUGUUGCCAUAACGCAAGUGUUGCAACACGUGUUAAUCUGUAUGUGCAUGGUGCAUCUUGCCUUGUGUGUCAACAUCAGCUUAGGGCUGAGGAAAACUAGAAGGACAUGGUAAUCCGCCUAUGGGUGGGUGAACGUCCUUGGGAGAACUCACUCUUGAACUGAUGGAUGACAAGAUGGUUUUCUUCGACCCGUCCUAGAAGGGCAGGGAGAGAGAUCUUUUUUA
Molecule: ribosomal RNA, 657 nt
Filed under: Testudodinium testudo
Lineage: Eukaryota; Dinophyceae; Gymnodiniales; Gymnodiniaceae
Description: eukaryotic LSU rRNA
Rfam family: Eukaryotic large subunit ribosomal RNA
Source: RNAcentral